This 274-nucleotide ribosomal RNA is filed under the name uncultured bacterium. RNAcentral's name for it is "partial 16S ribosomal RNA". It matches the Rfam family "Bacterial small subunit ribosomal RNA", at positions 523 to 796 of the family's 1533-position model. The record is from RNAcentral.
AUACGUAGGGUGCGAGCGUUAAUCGGAAUUACUGGGCGUAAAGCGUGCGCAGGCGGUUGUGUAAGACAGAUGUGAAAUCCCCGGGCUCAACCUGGGAACUGCAUUUGUGACUGCACGGCUAGAGUGCGUCAGAGGGGGGUAGAAUUCCACGUGUAGCAGUGAAAUGCGUAGAGAUGUGGAGGAAUACCGAUGGCGAAGGCAGCCCCCUGGGACGAGACUGACGCUCAUGCACGAAAGCGUGGGGAGCAAACAGGAUUAGAAACCCCAGUAGUCC